GAUGAACGCUGGCGGCGUGCCUCAAACAUGCAAGUCGAGCGGGGCGUAUGUAAUAUCGCAAGGUAGAACAUAGCCUAGCGGCGAACGGGUGAGUAACACGUGGGUAACCUGCCUGGAAGACAGGGAUAACGAUUCGAAAGGGUCGCUAAUACCUGAUAAUAUCCUUUCAUCGCAUGGUGAUAGGAAGAAAGGGGAAACCCGCUUUCAGAUGGGCCCGCGUCCCAUCAGCUAGUUGGUAAGGUAAAGGCUUACCAAGGCGACGACGGGUAGCCGGUCUGAGAGGAUGUACGGCCACACUGGGACUGAGAUACGGCCCAGACUCCUACGGGAGGCAGCAGUUGGGAAUCUUAGGCAAUGGACGAAAGUCUGACCUAGCGACGCCGCGUGAGGGAAGAAGGCCUUCGGGUUGUAAACCUCUGUCAUGGGGGAAGAAGUAAGUGACGGUACCCCAAGAGGAAGCCCCUGCUAACUACGUG
RNAcentral lists this ribosomal RNA (476 nucleotides) under uncultured bacterium. RNAcentral describes it as "bacterial SSU rRNA". It matches the Rfam family "Bacterial small subunit ribosomal RNA", at positions 28 to 507 of the family's 1533-position model. The record is from RNAcentral.